Molecule: ribosomal RNA, 442 nt
Filed under: uncultured bacterium
Lineage: Bacteria
Description: partial 16S ribosomal RNA
Rfam family: Bacterial small subunit ribosomal RNA
Source: RNAcentral
CCUACGGGAGGCAGCAGUGGGGAAUAUUGGGCAAUGGGCGCAAGCCUGAUCCAGCAACGCCGCGUGAAGGAAGAAGGCUUUCGGGUUGUAAACUUCUUUUAAGGGGGAAGAGCAGAAGACGGUACCCCUUGAAUAAGCCACGGCUAACUACGUGCCAGCAGCCGCGGUAAUACGUAGGUGGCAAGCGUUGUCCGGAUUUACUGGGUGUAAAGGGCGUGCAGCCGGAGAGACAAGUCAGAUGUGAAAUCCACGGGCUCAACCCGUGAACUGCAUUUGAAACUGUCUCCCUUGAGUGUCGGAGAGGUAAGCGGAAUUCCUUGUGUAGCGGUGAAAUGCGUAGAUAGAAGGAAGAACACCAGUGGCGAAGGCGGAUUACUGGACGAUAACUGACGGUGAGGCGCGAAAGUGUGGGGAGCAAACAGGAUUAGAUACCCUGGUAGUC